Molecule: ribosomal RNA, 570 nt
Filed under: uncultured bacterium
Lineage: Bacteria
Description: partial 16S ribosomal RNA
Rfam family: Bacterial small subunit ribosomal RNA
Source: RNAcentral
UGGGGAAUUUUGGACAAUGGGCGAAAGCCUGAUCCAGCAAUGCCGCGUGUGUGAAGAAGGCCUUCGGGUUGUAAAGCACUUUUGUCCGGAAAGAAAUCCUCUGGGUUAAUACCUCGGGGGGAUGACGGUACCGGAAGAAUAAGCACCGGCUAACUACGUGCCAGCAGCCGCGGUAAUACGUAGGGUGCAAGCGUUAAUCGGAAUUACUGGGCGUAAAGCGUGCGCAGGCGGUUUUGUAAGACGGAUGUGAAAUCCCCGGGCUUAACCUGGGAACUGCAUUCGUGACUGCAAGGCUAGAGUAUGGCAGAGGGGGGUAGAAUUCCACGUGUAGCAGUGAAAUGCGUAGAGAUGUGGAGGAAUACCGAUGGUGAAGGCAGCCCCCUGGGCCAAUACUGACGCUCAUGCACGAAAGCGUGGGGAGCAAACAGGAUUAGAUACCCUGGUAGUCCACGCCCUAAACGAUGUCAACUAGUUGUUGGGGAUUCAUUUCCUUAGUAACGUAGCUAACGCGUGAAGUUGACCGCCUGGGGAGUACGGUCGCAAGAUUAAAACUCAAAGGAAUUGACGGGG